This 388-nucleotide ribosomal RNA is filed under the name uncultured bacterium. Its description in RNAcentral is "bacterial SSU rRNA". It matches the Rfam family "Bacterial small subunit ribosomal RNA", at positions 28 to 417 of the family's 1533-position model. The record is from RNAcentral.
GACGAACGCUGGCGGCGUGCUUAACACAUGCAAGUCGAGCGGUAAGGCCCCUUCGGGGGUACACGAGCGGCGAACGGGUGAGUAACACGUGGGUGACCUGCCCUCAGCUCUGGGAUAAGCCUGGGAAACUGGGUCUAAUACCGGAUAUGACUCCAUGACGCAUGUCGUGGGGUGGAAAGCCUUGUGCGGCUGGGGAUGGGCCCGCGGCCUAUCAGCUUGUUGGUGGGGUGAUGGCCUACCAAGGCGACGACGGGUAGCCGGCCUGAGAGGGCGACCGGCCACACUGGGACUGAGACACGGCCCAGACUCCUACGGGAGGCAGCAGUGGGGAAUCUUGCGCAAUGGGCGAAAGCCUGACGCAGCGACGCCGCGUGAGGGAUGACGGCCU